GGUUAAGCGACUAAGCGUACACGGUGGAUGCCCUGGCAGUCAGAGGCGAUGAAGGACGUGCUAAUCUGCGAUAAGCGUCGGUAAGGUGAUAUGAACCGUUAUAACCGGCGAUUUCCGAAUGGGGAAACCCAGUGUGAUUCGUCACACUAUCAUUAACUGAAUCCAUAGGUUAAUGAGGCGAACCGGGGGAACUGAAACAUCUAAGUACCCCGAGGAAAAGAAAUCAACCGAGAUUCCCCCAGUAGCGGCGAGCGAACGGGGAGGAGCCCAGAGCCUGAAUCAGUGUGUGUGUUAGUGGAAGCGUCUGGAAAGGCGCGCGAUACAGGGUGACAGCCCCGUACACAAAAAUGCACAUACUGUGAGCUCGAUGAGUAGGGCGGGACACGUGGUAUCCUGUCUGAAUAUGGGGGGACCAUCCUCCAAGGCUAAAUACUCCUGACUGACCGAUAGUGAACCAGUACCGUGAGGGAAAGGCGAAAAGAACCCCGGCGAGGGGAGUGAAAAAGAACCUGAAACCGUGUACGUACAAGCAGUGGGAGCCUCUUUAUGGGGUGACUGCGUACCUUUUGUAUAAUGGGUCAGCGACUUAUAUUCUGUAGCAAGGUUAACCGAAUAGGGGAGCCGAAGGGAAACCGAGUCUUAACUGGGCGUUAAGUUGCAGGGUAUAGACCCGAAACCCGGUGAUCUAGCCAUGGGCAGGUUGAAGGUUGGGUAACACUAACUGGAGGACCGAACCGACUAAUGUUGAAAAAUUAGCGGAUGACUUGUGGCUGGGGGUGAAAGGCCAAUCAAACCGGGAGAUAGCUGGUUCUCCCCGAAAGCUAUUUAGGUAGCGCCUCGUGAAUUCAUCUCCGGGGGUAGAGCACUGUUUCGGCAAGGGGGUCAUCCCGACUUACCAACCCGAUGCAAACUGCGAAUACCGGAGAAUGUUAUCACGGGAGACACACGGCGGGUGCUAACGUCCGUCGUGAAGAGGGAAACAACCCAGACCGCCAGCUAAGGUCCCAAAGUCAUGGU
RNAcentral lists this ribosomal RNA (1017 nucleotides) under Escherichia coli. Its description in RNAcentral is "partial 23S ribosomal RNA". It matches the Rfam family "Bacterial large subunit ribosomal RNA", at positions 1 to 1059 of the family's 2925-position model. Lineage: Bacteria; Pseudomonadati; Pseudomonadota; Gammaproteobacteria; Enterobacterales; Enterobacteriaceae. The record is from RNAcentral.